Molecule: ribosomal RNA, 497 nt
Filed under: uncultured bacterium
Lineage: Bacteria
Description: partial 16S ribosomal RNA
Rfam family: Bacterial small subunit ribosomal RNA
Source: RNAcentral
GACGAACGCUGGCGGCGUGCCUAAUACAUGCAAGUUGAGCGCUGAAGGUUGGUACUUGUACCAACUGGAUGAGCAGCGAACGGGUGAGUAACGCGUGGGGAAUCUGCCUUUGAGCGGGGGACAACAUUUGGAAACGAAUGCUAAUACCGCAUAAAAACUUUAAACACAAGUUUUAAGUUUGAAAGAUGCAAUUGCAUCACUCAAAGAUGAUCCCGCGUUGUAUUAGCUAGUUGGUGAGGUAAAGGCUCACCAAGGCGAUGAUACAUAGCCGACCUGAGAGGGUGAUCGGCCACAUUGGGACUGAGACACGGCCCAAACUCCUACGGGAGGCAGCAGUAGGGAAUCUUCGGCAAUGGACGAAAGUCUGACCGAGCAACGCCGCGUGAGUGAAGAAGGGUGUCGGAUCGUAAAACUCUGUUGGUAGAGAAGAACGUUGGUGAGAGUGGAAAGCUCAUCAAGUGACGGUAACUACCCAGAAGGGGACGGCUAACUACGUG